RNAcentral lists this ribosomal RNA (591 nucleotides) under Hanseniaspora jakobsenii. RNAcentral describes it as "partial 26S ribosomal RNA". It matches the Rfam family "Eukaryotic large subunit ribosomal RNA", at positions 52 to 657 of the family's 3401-position model. Lineage: Eukaryota; Fungi; Ascomycota; Saccharomycetes; Saccharomycodales; Saccharomycodaceae. The record is from RNAcentral.
GGAGGAAAAGAAACCAACUGGGAUUACCUUAGUAACGGCGAGUGAAGCGGUAAAAGCUCAAAUUUGAAAUCUGGUACUUUCAGUGCCCGAGUUGUAAUUUGUAGAAUUUGUCUUUGAAUUGGUCCUUGUCUAUGUUCCUUGGAACAGGACGUCAUAGAGGGUGAGAAUCCCGUUUGGCGAGGAUACCUUUUCUCUGUAAGACUUUUUCGAAGAGUCGAGUUGUUUGGGAAUGCAGCUCAAAGUGGGUGGUAAAUUCCAUCUAAAGCUAAAUAUUGGCGAGAGACCGAUAGCGAACAAGUACAGUGAUGGAAAGAUGAAAAGAACUUUGAAAAGAGAGUGAAAAAGUACGUGAAAUUGUUGAAAGGGAAGGGCAUUUGAUCAGACAUGGUGUUUUUUGCAUGCACUCGCCUCUCGUGGGCUUGGGCCUCUCAAAAAUUUCACUGGGCCAACAUCAGUUUUGGCAGCAGGAAAAAUCAUUAGGAAUGUGGCUUCUCCGGAAGUGUUAUAGCCUAUUGGAAUACUGCUAGCCGGGAUUGAGGACUGCGCUUUUGCAAGGAUGUUGGCAUAAUGGUUAAAUGCCGCCCGUCUUGA